This is a long non-coding RNA of Phyllostomus discolor (pale spear-nosed bat), 784 nucleotides long. RefSeq lists it as uncharacterized. The transcript has 3 exons. Lineage: Eukaryota; Metazoa; Chordata; Mammalia; Chiroptera; Phyllostomidae. The record is from RefSeq and is a predicted model, not a curated record.
UUUGUUUACUCCUUUGUUUUGGUUUAUAUUUUUGCUCAAGCCACUUUCCUUGGGAUUCUACCACCUGCACACAGGAUAUUCUAAGGUUUUUGGUAUUAGAGAUGGUGUGAAACAGUCCCAGUACAGGUCUAAGCAAUCACAUGGAAUUCCAGGUGGAAUCCAAGAACCAUCUCAGGUGACCUCUCAGGCUGACUUUCCCAGCUAGGUUAUCACUACUCACUUGUGACGAUGACACUGCUUCUGGCCCUCUGACUGAAGGCGGAGCUCUGCGGUUGCUCAGCUGGUCCUGCUGUGAGAGCUGGCAGACUGUGGGCAGACGGUGGAGACUGGGGCAGGUGCACGGGGGCUCUGCCCACAGUCUGCUGAUUAGCUACUGCACAUGCUGCCUGACAACUGUGUGUGCGCCUGUGUGUCUGUGCUGGUGUACUGUCCUGCUUUUCAGGGGCAGAAGUUGUGGUUCCAUGGUAAUAUCCAAUCACAGCUCCCUUACUUCUCAUUAAGGCAUUGAGGGGGCAUAUUUCUCUUCUUAUUAUGUAACAGAAAAAGCAAGCAAGCUUGAUUUCUAAACCAAAAUAGGCUUUCGAAUGGGGAUUUUUAGAUGUUAUACACACUCUUGAUUUUUAAGAAGGGGAAUGCCUUACUUAAGGACAUUUUACAAAGGUCACGAGCCUGUUAAUGACAUCUGCUUUCUUCAAGAAGAAAAUUCCAUGGUCUGUGCUGGUUUUGAAGUAAUUCAGGUCCUGAGAGGUGUUUCCCCAUAGUUCCUCCAGGAUAGGAACCUGAC